CCCACCGAGCGGUCAUCGGACAAACAUCGUUAAAGUUGUUGUUUGUUUGAUGAUACUUUACUCUUCUAUUUUGCGUUUUGUGGCACGAGCAAAGAUGUUAGACAUUUGAAAAUACCUUUUUUUACCAUCCUCGAAGGAUCUUUUGUCCAUUGUCUCUUCACUUUGAGGUUGGAAAAAAGAAGCUGAGUAUCAAGACUUUUGUGCACACGAGAGAAGUAUGUACGCCCUACUGGCUCGCACUUGGGCAAGGCGGACCAGCUGGACCUGUAACACACAAAGCGGAUUGAAGAAAUACUAAUACUGCAAAAAUAGGUGACAUAGUGGCCAUUCAUACAAGUCUACCGCUGUGGACAGGCACUGCCUUCAGAGCAUACAAGCUCUUCUAUAAAAUAAACAAACUUUAGGACUCUUGUCAAGUUACAAAUAUUCCGAAAAUCUGAGACAACUUCGGAAAGGAGGGAGAGGGGGUUAAGGGAAGGGCAAAAGAAAAUUGAAAAAAUGAACCAUGUCUUUUUGUGUGUAGAUAUUGUGCCAAGAUGUUAGAAUAAAAGCUGCAAAUAUA
Long non-coding RNA from Nematostella vectensis (starlet sea anemone), 562 nucleotides. RefSeq lists it as uncharacterized. The transcript has 3 exons. Lineage: Eukaryota; Metazoa; Cnidaria; Anthozoa; Actiniaria; Edwardsiidae. The record is from RefSeq and is a predicted model, not a curated record.